AAAAGUCCAGAGGUAUUCCGAAUUAUUAGUUUAGAACAGGAAAAUGGCGGCAGAUGGAACAGAGGGAUGCAUGUAUACGUUCAAUUUGAAACCCAGCUGUAUCAACGCUGUCAAGUGGUCAAGUGAUGGGCGUGUGGCCAUAGCAGCAAACGAAUGUGUACUUCUCAUGGAACUCGAUUAUUCCCCACACCAGCUAGUGUCAUCAUCAAGCUGCCACAUCAAGUCCAUACCAGCAUGGAAAGAACAACACAACAUGUCUGGUUUGGAUGAAGUGCAAUUCAGAGAUCUCCAAGAAAACACAAAAUCUCCAGAAUUAAAGCAAGAGCUUGCUCUUGACCACACACUAUGUCCACUAGUGAAGUCAGCCUCAACGCACGCUGGGUAUCGGACAAUCUGCUGGUCACCUGUCGGAGGAGACAGAUUAGGGAGGUGUAUCUUGGCAACUCUGUCACAUGAUCACAGACUGUUGUUGUAUAGCACACAGGACACCCAGUCAACUUGGAGUCUGGUAGCUGACCUGUCUAAAUUGUACCUAGAGAAUUCUGAGUGGAAAAAUACAGAUCGUACUGACAUCAACUACUUGAAAACCAAGAUGUACAGUCUUUCAGCUCUAGAAAUGGCUUGGACCACAACAUGUACCGAGAGGAAUGCCAAUUGCUCAACAGGGACAGCCAUUUUAUCUGUUGCCAUGAGGAACGGUGAUAUUGUGCUUUGGUUGAUCAAGUUUCCAUGCCAGUCCCAGGAGGAUUGCAAGCUUCUGAAGAAAAUGACCUUCACCUCAAAUGCUCCAUCUGCAGUGGCAUGGUCACAGACUCCAGUUACUAUGGCAACAGGUACAGCUGUAGAUUUUAUGGCUGUGGGAUACCAGAAUGGAAGGGUAGACCUAACAUCUGUUAACUUAGAGGACGGCAGUAUUGUAUCAUCGCUGUCCCUCCAUACUGAUGAAGAUUUACUGACAGCCAGUUGCCUUUAUAUGAAAAUGAUUUCACAGGACCAACUUCUGGUGCUGUUUGCUAAGGAGUGUUUUCUGAUGGCAUAUGUAGUGAAAAUCAGUGACGGCAGCUUGCGUUUACUUCAUAACAGUCAUGUGAUGGUGGCCACCACGCUGUAUAUUACAGCUGUGUGUUACAAAGAGGAGGUGUUACUCCUGUCUACCUGUGAUGGUCUGCUCUUCAAGGGAAGCGUCAGUGUCACAAAUAAAGGUGUGUCUAUAAGUCUCAAGCAAUGGAAUACAGACUUUACACGCAGCACAGAAAACAAUAGUGGGCAGUGUUACGGUGUUGACUUAUCAGACAAUUGUAUGCUGAUGUGUGCCCUCAUGUCAUCAUCAAGAAAGGAUUUUGGAACUUUUAAGGCGAAAAUGUUCAAGAAACCUAUGAACCUGCAUGUUCAGCCCAUUAUUCACGAAUCUGAUGAACUGGAGGAACUAAAGAAGAAAGUGGAGAGGAUGAUUAAGAAUGAAACAGCGCCCUUGACGUGGAUGGUGGACGUGAUGGAGACGUUCCGUAUACAUCUGUGGCAGGGUAAAGACUUGGCCCCUGCAAUCACUAAUUACAUCUCCAACCCCACCUCCUGGUAUACCCUGCCUCUCAAAACACUCCGAGUCCUCAGGUAUUUCUUAAUCACCAUCAAUUUACACAUACCAAGAAAUCCAGAUUCUACAGAACCAAACCAGGAAGUUGCUCUUGCGGAGAAAAAUAUACACAAAGUUAAAGACGUCAUCAUAGGAAGAUACAUUGUUGAUUCCUUAGAGGUGCUUCAGAGUCGGAGGGCGAAAAUGACCGAAAAAGAUAAGUGUGUUUGUUCAAAUAUGCUUCGCUACAUGGAACACCACCAGCAAAAAUACGAGGACACACCACUUCACGCUAGGCUGGACACAUUGAGACAAUCCCUGGGCAAAAUCGACACCAGCUCUCAAAGUUGUUGUGUUUGUGGAAAAACUGCAGCUAUUGGUGAUAACUACACACUCAGCUGUGACGAAGGGCACACGUUUGGACUGUGUUGUCAAACUCUUCAACCCUGUACGGAAACUCAAUAUAGAACAUGUAGCAACUGUAAACUACAGGCUGUAUCUCACACCGACAGAACAGGUGAGCACUGUCAAUUAACAGACAAAUAAUAACUGUAAACUACAGGCUGUAUCUCACACCGACAGAACAGGUGAGCACUGUCAAUUAACAGACAAAUAAUAACUGUAAACUACAGGCGGUAUCUCACACCGACAGAACAGGAUUACCAUGGCUGGUUGAGGCAUCAGAACACUGUACAAUAUGUGAGAGCUACUUAUUUCCGUGUUUUUGAUAAAACUCAUGC
This 2313-nucleotide unclassified non-coding RNA is filed under the name Mizuhopecten yessoensis (Yesso scallop). RNAcentral describes it as "general transcription factor 3C polypeptide 4-like, transcript variant X5". Lineage: Eukaryota; Metazoa; Mollusca; Bivalvia; Pectinida; Pectinidae. The record is from RNAcentral.